UACGUAGGGAGCAAGCGUUGUCCGGAAUCAUUGGGCGUAAAGCGCGCGUAGGCGGCCCUGUAAGUCCGUUGUGAAAGUCAAAGGCUCAACCUUUGAAAGCCGAUGGAUACUGCAGGGCUAGAGUCCGGAAGAGGCGAGUGGAAUUCCUGGUGUAGCGGUGGAAUGCGCAGAUAUCAGGAGGAACACCAAUAGCGAAGGCAGCUCGCUGGGACAGUACUGACGCUAAGGCGCGAAAGCGUGGGGAGCGAACAGG
RNAcentral lists this ribosomal RNA (253 nucleotides) under uncultured bacterium. Its description in RNAcentral is "partial 16S ribosomal RNA". It matches the Rfam family "Bacterial small subunit ribosomal RNA", at positions 524 to 776 of the family's 1533-position model. The record is from RNAcentral.